This 430-nucleotide ribosomal RNA is filed under the name uncultured bacterium. RNAcentral describes it as "bacterial SSU rRNA". It matches the Rfam family "Bacterial small subunit ribosomal RNA", at positions 355 to 776 of the family's 1533-position model. The record is from RNAcentral.
UGGGGAAUUGUUCACAAUGGGCGCAAGCCUGAUGACGCAACGCCGCGUGGGGGAUGAAGGCCUUCGGGUCGUAAACCCCUGUCGAAUGGGACGAAUAACCUCUGGAUUAAUACUCCGGAGGAAUGACGGUACCGUUAAAGGAAGCCACGGCUAACUCUGUGCCAGCAGCCGCGGUAAUACAGAGGUGGCAAGCGUUGUUCGGAAUUACUGGGCGUAAAGGGCGCGUAGGCGGCCUUCUAAGUCAGACGUGAAAUCCCCCGGCUUAACCUGGGAACUGCGUCUGAUACUGGGAGGCUUGAGUAUGGGAGAGGGAUGUAGAAUUCCAGGUGUAGCGGUGAAAUGCGUAGAUAUCUGGAGGAAUACCGGUGGCGAAGGCGGCAUCCUGGACCAUAACUGACGCUGAGGCGCGAAAGCUAGGGGAGCAAACGGG